GAUGAACGCUGGCGGCGUGCCUAAUACAUGCAAGUCGAGCGAACGGACGAGAAGCUUGCUUCUCUGAUGUUAGCGGCGGACGGGUGAGUAACACGUGGAUAACCUACCUAUAAGACUGGGAUAACUUCGGGAAACCGGAGCUAAUACCGGAUAAUAUUUUGAACCGCAUGGUUCAAAAGUGAAAGACGGUCUUGCUGUCACUUAUAGAUGGAUCCGCGCUGCAUUAGCUAGUUGGUAAGGUAACGGCUUACCAAGGCAACGAUGCAUAGCCGACCUGAGAGGGUGAUCGGCGACACUGGAACUGAGACACGGUCCAGACACAGAGGGGAGGAAGCAGUAGGGAAUAUUCCGCAAUGGGCGAAAGCCUGACGGAGCAACGCCGCGUGAGUGAUGAAGGUCUUCGGAUCGUAAAACUCUGUUAUUAGGGAAGAACAUAUGUGUAAGUAACUGUGCACAUCUUGACGGUACCUAAUCAGAAAGCCACGGCUAACUACGUG
Molecule: ribosomal RNA, 497 nt
Filed under: uncultured bacterium
Lineage: Bacteria
Description: partial 16S ribosomal RNA
Rfam family: Bacterial small subunit ribosomal RNA
Source: RNAcentral